CUAUCUUAGCAUAAAACUAAAGUCUAGGUAAGAGAAAGACAUGAUAUAAAGUUGAGCUACUAUUUAUCUUGUUCCUACUACACUAAGUUCUAGAGAUUUAUUUUGAAAACUUACAAGUCACAUGAUGAGUUCCUAGCAUACAAAACUACCUACCACAGCCAUACUUGCUAUAACAUCUUUUACUAUAUUUACAUUGAGUUUGAUCGAGCUGUGUAGACCCUUAGGAGCUUUUCAUGUGGUUAAAUUAAGAUAUUCACUUGCACACAUCUACUACACUAUCCAUCAUCAUUCAUUAAAAUUGCUAAAAAUAUUAUCACUAACUGUCCCGAAUAUUGUUAUUCUCUCUCUCUAAAAAGAUUCAAUGCAAAAGAGGCAUGGGUUAUGCAAAAAUAUACGAGGAAAUAAAAAGGGGCAAGUGUCCGGAACCUCGAAAAAGAAAGAAAAAGAGUGAGACGAGAGGUAAAAAUGGACAAGUGUCCGAAGUAGAAUUAGGGGUACAAAGAUGCCCACUUGAGCAGAAAAAAUGGACAAGUGUCCGACAGUAGAAUUAGGGGUAUCUACUACCCACCUGAAAAAAAA
Molecule: long non-coding RNA, 579 nt
Filed under: Sorghum bicolor (sorghum)
Lineage: Eukaryota; Viridiplantae; Streptophyta; Magnoliopsida; Poales; Poaceae
Description: long non-coding RNA (SBIC_LNC000697)
Source: RNAcentral